RNAcentral lists this long non-coding RNA (565 nucleotides) under Homo sapiens (human). RNAcentral describes it as "non-protein coding SYNGAP1-AS1:12". Lineage: Eukaryota; Metazoa; Chordata; Mammalia; Primates; Hominidae. The record is from RNAcentral.
GAGCUGCUGAAGUCCUCCCCGCUGCAGAGGACCGAGAGGCAGGGCCCGGGAGAGAACAGCCCGGUCGGAGGGGGUGGGCCGUCAGCCGCCCCGGAAAGCUGCGUUUCCCGGUGAUUAAGUGUAGCACCCGCCCCCGGUAGGUCCUGAGAGGGGCGAGAUUAGUUGGGUACUUACCAUGUGGGCCUGGCACUUGCCCACAUCACUUUGUGUCUUCCCACCGGCCCUGCGAGGGUGGGGGUUGCCGUCCUCAGUUUCCAGGCGGGGGAAACGGGCUGGAAGCGUCACUCAGCUAAUAGUAGUGGACCUGGGACUGGAACUCAGAUUUGCUAAGGAACCAGGCAGGUUCUUUCCUGUUUUCUGCACGGGAGCAUUUUAACCAGCAAUUAAAGAAACCUUAUUUCUAGGUAAUUUUUAAAAGAGAUAAAUGUGGAUAUAUACAUGAACUCUUUUAUCAGAUAACGCCGCUGUUCCUGGCCUCGGACUAAGUGACACAGUGGUGAGGGGAGAGUUAGAUUGGAGAAGUUUGGCCGGUGCAAAACUCCUGCUCUAAAAUAUAAAAAAUCUC